AGAAGACAUACUGUUGAAAAAUUACACAUACUCAUUGAAUCUGGAGGUUAAAGCAACAACAGAUUACUUGUUUGAGGUAACAAGAAUGAAAGAAUCGUGGGAAGUAGACCUAGAAAAAAGAACAUGCACGUGCAACAGGUUCCAAAUAGAUGAAAUGCCAUGCGGGCACGCAGUGGCCGUGAUGAGGGAGAUGAACAUGGACCCGUACACCUACUGUUCAGAUUACUACACAAAAAAAAAUUGGCUGGCAACUUAUUCAGGGACAGUUUACCCAAUAGGACACCAAAGUGAAUGGGAGGUACCGGAAGAAGUGAAAAAUAUUACAGUCUUGCCUCCACAUGAAAGAGUAAAAUCAGGAAGACCAAAAACAUUAAGAAGGAAGGCUGGAUGGGAAAGGGAUCAACACAACAAGUGCAGCAAAUGUGGUGAACUGGGGCAUAACAAAAGAACAUGCAGCAGAAGACGUAGAAGGGAAUAAAAACAACAACAGAACAACAGUGGAAAAACAAAAGAAAACUACACAUACGUUAUGAGAAUUAGAUAUUGAGGAAUUUAAAUUUCUGAAAUACACAGGGAAUACAGUUUUUAUUUGAAAAACAUUGAUUACAUUGGGAAUUGUUGAUACUCUAUAUUGGAUAUUAAAAGAUGUUGGAUACUAAAUUGAAUAUAUAUAUGAAGUUUGUUAUUGAAACAGUUUGUGUUUUUAAUACUGAAAUGAAUAUUUGGAUUCAAAAAAACAGAGAAACUAUAAGAAAAAAAAAAACAAAAAAAGAAUGGAUGUGAAAUGAAAAAACAAACAACUUUAACAUACCAACUUGUUUGUACAUAAAAAUAAUAAGAAAAAACAUACAAAAAUAAAAGAUUACAUAUUGUCCACACAAAGCGUAAGGAAAAACAACAGAACACCAAUGUUUGUUUACGAAAAACAACAUGAAAAACAUUAAAACAACAUUAAAAAACUAUAAGAACAAUGACAGUCUGAUUGAAAAAGCAAAUCACUUCUUGGGAAGGCUGGGAGGGGCCUCGGAUUCACUUUCAAUGUUCUCAGUUUGCUUCUUCAUCCCAUAAUGAUAAAAUAACGCAGCCAAACGAUCGCGGUGAAUUUCCACAUCAAAAUCAGAGGAUGGGAUGGGUUUGCCAUCAAUGAAAUACUCAGCAAAUGAUGCAACAAAAACACCACAA
Molecule: long non-coding RNA, 1182 nt
Organism: Cannabis sativa
Lineage: Eukaryota; Viridiplantae; Streptophyta; Magnoliopsida; Rosales; Cannabaceae
Exons: 2
Source: RefSeq, a predicted model, not a curated record